UCCGAGUUGUCCCCGGCAGUCCCCUUAGAGUCCCCGGCAUUACCCUCUGGCAACUAAGGGUAGGGGUUGCGCUCGUUGCGGCACUUAAGCCAACACCUCACGGCACGAGCUGACGACAGCCAUGCAGCACCUGUGCUGGUCCCAAAAGGACACGGGCUUUCACCCGCUUUAACCAGCAUGUCAAGCCCAGGUAAGGUUCUUCGCGUCGCAUCGAAUUAAGCCACAUGCUCCACCGCUUGUGCGGGCCCCCGUCAAUUCCUUUGAGUUUCAACCUUGCGGUCGUACUUCCCAGGUGGGAUACUUAAUGCUUUCGCUCAGACACCAACUGUGUAUCGCUGAUGUCGAGUAUCCAUCGUUUAGGGCGUGGACUAC
RNAcentral lists this unclassified non-coding RNA (372 nucleotides) under uncultured bacterium. RNAcentral's name for it is "contains 16S-23S intergenic spacer region". The record is from RNAcentral.